UUUAAACUGAGAGCUUGAUCCUGGCUCAGGAUGAACGUUGGCGGUGCGCUUUAUGCAUGCAAGUCGUACGGAACUAUAGUUUUCGGAUUAUGGUUCAGUGGCGGACGGCUGAGUAACACGUAGGUAACUUGCCCGUGAGCGGGGGAUAACUUACCGAAAGGUAGGCUAAUACCGCAUGACAUGGAUUUGCCAAAGCAGAUUCAUCAAAGUCGUAAGACACUCGCGGAUAGGCCUGCGGCCGAUUAGCUAGUUGGCGGGGUAAUAGCCCACCAAGGCAGUGAUCGGUAGCUGGUCUGAGAGGAUGUCCAGCCAGAUGGGGACUGAGACACGGCCCCAACUCCUACGGGAGGCAGCAGCAAGGAAUAUUGGGCAAUGGGCGAAAGCCUGACCCAGCGACACCGCGUGGGGGAAGAAGGUUUUCGGAUCGUAAACCCCUUUUCUCAGGGAAGAUAAUGACGGUACCUGAGGAAUAAGGCUCGGCCAACUACGUGCCAGCAGCCGCGGUAAUACGUAGGAGGCAAACGUUAUCCGGAUUUACUGGGCGUAAAGGGAGCGUAGGCGGUUGCUUAAGUCGGGUGUGAAAUCUCCUGACUCAAUCAGGAGGGGUCAUCUGAUACUGGGCAACUUGAGGGCGGCAGAAGGAAACGGAAUUCCGAGUGUAGCGGUGAAAUGCGUUGAUAUUCGGAAGAACACCAGUGGCGAAGGCGG
Molecule: ribosomal RNA, 708 nt
Filed under: Dehalococcoidia bacterium
Lineage: Bacteria; Bacillati; Chloroflexota; Dehalococcoidia
Description: bacterial SSU rRNA
Rfam family: Bacterial small subunit ribosomal RNA
Source: RNAcentral